This 518-nucleotide long non-coding RNA is filed under the name Homo sapiens (human). Its description in RNAcentral is "long non-coding RNA NONHSAT094831.2". The record is from RNAcentral. Lineage: Eukaryota; Metazoa; Chordata; Mammalia; Primates; Hominidae.
CAGGUGGCACACAUACCGCCUUUACUCCAUAGAGAACUUCCAAUUGUGGGUCGGCACAGACGCAACCCAGUCUCCUCCCACCUCCGAGAGUGCAGUGUCCUGAAUGGAGAACCCCAGCACCCAGAAGCAUCCACUGAAGGACUAAAUUCUACACAUGAAGGCAAACGUCCGUGGUUGACAGAAAUUACACUGGCCAGAAUCCCCAGUCCCCAUGAGGCUUGUCCAGACGCAGUGAACCAGUCGCAGCUGAUAACACACAGACCAUUCCCGAUCCCAGAGGUGCAUUUCAGGAUUCAUUCUAUUUCAUCAGGUGACGUUUUAACAGAAACAAAACCGCAGGCAGCGGGUGGGGGGAGCUGGAGGUUGGAAUCACACCAACAUUAUAGCAUUAUUACUCUAAAAAAAAUUACUUUUUUGGCUGGGUGCUGUGGCUCACACCUAUAAUUGGGGGGCCAAGGCAGGUGGAUUACCUGAGGUCGGGAAUUCGAGACCAGCCUGACCAACAUGGAGAAACCCCG